UAAACUUGCAAAGUAAGCUAACUUGGAGACAUUUCUCCUACACAAAUCGGUCAUCUCACUUUCAUCAAGUCACUUUCACGCAUCUUUCUUUCUUCUUUCUUCUCCCGUGAGUUUACUAGAGCAAAGAACAAGGAAGUUCAAGAAGAUUUGGGCUUUUUUUUAGAAAAAACCUAUUAUACAAAAGUUGUAACUUUAGGUCUUGUGAUUCUAAAUCUUCAUCCCUUUCUUGUUGAUGAGAUUCAUAUUGAGAGAAAAUCCCUCCCAAGUGCAACGGCGUACAUGCUGUCUAAGAAGGUUUAGUGGAUGUUUUUGGAGUUUUAUUAGUGGAAAGACUACUUAGCUCAUAGAGAAGCUAUACAGGUUGUCGUACGUUGAUUUGAACCUCGAACCGUGAGUCGGUGGAUUGCCCUUGAUCUUGGACCAAGUGGGAUUAAGAGUAUAUACAAGUAAUUGGACGCAAAGAGUACAAGUAACUUGGGCUGCAAUAAAAUAGCAGGAAAAGCUAAGCAAGUAAAAGGCGAGAAAAUUAUAGAUGAUAAAAAGCCUGUUGACGCGACUCCACACAGAGAAAAGUUCCAUGUGGCAUCAUGUUGCAUAGUACAAAUGCCAGAGAAUUGGCGCUAACUAGCGCCCGAAUGACGCAGACCCGCGCCGGAUUGCAAACUUUGCAACGGAGAAUUUUGAGUGGCGCUCAGUGGCACCAAAAUGGCGCCAAAUGGCACCACAUUCAUGACCAGGAUCAUGGCGCCACCAGGCGCCCAACAAGAAGAAAGAAUAGCGCCACAAGGCGCCCAAAGCAAAGGAGAAUGGCGCCACUAGGCGCCCAAAAGGAAGGAGGAUGGCGCCAACUGGCGCCAGUGUACGUGCCAUCAGGUCCGACUUUUCACAAUUGGACAGUAACUCCGCGCGAAGUGGCGCCGUACCGGUGCUAACUGGCGUCGGGUUGCGAGGAAAUUUUACCGUGUUGUCUCAGGGGUAUUUUUGGAAGAAGAAAAAUAGAUUUAUAAAUAGGAUCCUUAUGACAGAAUUAGGUAUCCAGACCUAUUCUUAUGAAGGGAGACGACGGCAGAGCUCUGAGAGGAUUCCUUAGAUCAAGUUCUUCUUCUCUUUUCUCUUUAAUUUUAUGCUUUUGAAUAUUGGAUUAUUUUUAGCCAUGAUUAUGCUUGGCUAGUUUCUUUUAUUGUAGUUAGGGUCACGAGCCCUAUGUGAACCCUUG
Gastrolobium bilobum is the source of this 1216-nucleotide long non-coding RNA. RefSeq lists it as uncharacterized. NCBI's taxonomy places the organism in Eukaryota, Viridiplantae, Streptophyta, Magnoliopsida, Fabales, Fabaceae. The transcript is spliced from 4 exons. The record is from RefSeq and is a predicted model, not a curated record.